This 2328-nucleotide unclassified non-coding RNA is filed under the name Hevea brasiliensis (rubber tree). Lineage: Eukaryota; Viridiplantae; Streptophyta; Magnoliopsida; Malpighiales; Euphorbiaceae. The record is from RNAcentral.
CUACCUUUAAAUCUUUUAAAAGUAGUGGAUUUAUGUGAAAUUGGGUUUCAAAAAUAAUUGCCGUACUUUUAUUUACCCUUGAAUCAAUCAAUUGCCUGCAGUUACAGUACAAAACUUGCACAUUAUUUACAAGUAUAAGAUUACAUCAUAGAAGCUGACAUUAUAUACCAGGUAACUACAAGACUGUUGUUGUAUCAGAUACGUGGAUAGUCUGAUCUGACUGAUUUAUAACUACCGGGUUUCCUGAAGCAUCCAGAUCAACUAUUGCAGUAUCACCAGGCUUAAAUCCUCCCGCAAGUAAGGCUUCGCUUAUGGGAUUUUCAAUUAUUUGAGUAACUGCUCUCCUAAGAGGUCGAGCUCCAUAAAUCUUGUCAUAGCCUUGUUGGCAUACAAGGUCCUUGAUAGACUCAGACACCUCCAAGCCAAUCCCAAGUGAUAUUAGCCUUUCUUUCACCUCUUGCAGCAUCAGAUUUAAAAUCUUGAGCAUCUGAGCCUUCUCAAGGGGAUGGAAUACCACUACUUCAUCUAUCCUGUUGAGUAACUCUGGGCGAAAAUACGCCUUGAGUUCUUCCAUUACCAAUGCUUUUAUUCCAGCAUAUGAAGUUGACUCAUCAUCUGCAAUCAAGAAACCGAUAGAGGUGCGUCCCCCCUUUGCAAUGGCAGUAGAGCCCACAUUUGAGGUCAUUACAACCAACGCAUUUUUAAAUGAUACUCUCCGUCCCUGAGAAUCUGUAAGGUGGCCAUCUUCAAACAACUGAAGGAGCAUAUUGAAUACAUCAGGAUGAGCUUUCUCUAUUUCAUCAAGUAAAACCAGCGUGAAAGGUUGUCUUCUAAUAGCUUCUGUAAGAGUGCCUCCUUCACCAUAACCAACAUAACCUGGGGGUGAUCCUAUUAAUUUGCUCACGGUGUGUCGUUCCAUAUAUUCACUCAUGUCCAGUCUCAGCAUUGCAGACUCCGAACCAAAAUAGCAUGCUGCCAAAGCUUUUGCUAGUUCAGUCUUGCCAACCCCAGUUGGGCCACAAAACAUCAUUGCUGCUAUGGGCCUGUCAGGAUCUUUCAAGCCAACUCGAGACCUUUUAACUGCUCUAGAUAUUGCAGCAACAGCCUCAUCUUGACCAAUGACCCGUUUUCUGAGCUGAUCAUCUAGACUUACCAAAAACAUUCUUUCAUCAGCAGUGAGCUGCUGAACUGGGAUUCCUGACCAAAGUGAAGCCACUGCAGCUAUAUCAUCUGGGCCCACCACUAUUGGCUCAUCAUCAUCAUCUGAUGUAACAGGUACAUGGGCCUCCAAAAUGAUUUCACCAGAGUCCUUUGUGUUGGAAGUACUGCCAUCAUUUUUUACCUUACUUGCCAGAACCACUUCAUGCAUGGCCUGAACAGUUCUAAUUUCUUGCCAAUAGUCAUCAGGUGACUUCGAAAGGAUACAGGUCUGUUGUUCUUUUUUCUUCCUAUGGGCCUCAAUUCGUGCUCUGCUUCCUGCCUCAUCAAUAAGAUCAAUAGCUUUAUCCGGAAGAUAUCUAUCAGCAAUAUAUCUUGCUGACAGAUAGACAGCAGCAUUUAUGGCUUCAGGUGUGAAAAUGCAGUUGUGAUGGGCCUCAUAUUUCUGACGAAGACCUAACAGUAUUUUAACAGCAUCCUCCUGGUUUGGUUCAUUUAUUGACACAGGCUGGAAUCUUCGAGCUAAUGCUUUAUCACUUUCAAAAUGUGUCCUGUAUUCAUCUAUCGUAGUGGAUGCCAUGCACUGUAAUUCACCCCUCCCAAGUGAUGGCUUCAGUAAAUUAGCAAUGUCAAGUCCAGAUCCCUUGUUUCCCCGUCCAACUGUGCCAGUCCCAACAAGUGUAUGAACUUCAUCAAUAAAAAGAAUGAUAUUACCUUCUUUCAGUAUCUCUCCUAUUAGUGCAGUAACACGUGCCUCUAAUUCUCCCCUUUCCUUUGCACCAGCAAUUAAUAGUCCCAUAUCCAAAGACAUUACACGUUUUGCUAAGAGAAAAACAGGAACAUUGGCCUGUGCAAUACUAAUUGCUAGUCCUUCGGCAAUGGCUGUUUUUCCAACCCCACUUUGACCAAGAAGAAUAGGAUUGUUUUUGGUUCUGCGGCAAAGUAUCUGAAUAAUUCUUUCAAUUUCAGUCUCUCGGCCAAUAACAGGGUCGAUGAGUCCUUCACUGGCACGAGCAGUAAGAUCCACACAGAAUUGAGUCAGAGCACUUUUCUCUCUCGUUUUCUCAGAGGAUCUUAAUGCAGCAGCUUUCUUAGAAAAGGAUUUUUCACGUGAUCCUUUGGAUUCCACAGAUAAUUCUCUUCCAUCUUUAGCAAGCUCACCCUGAAGUC